Molecule: ribosomal RNA, 460 nt
Filed under: uncultured bacterium
Lineage: Bacteria
Description: partial 16S ribosomal RNA
Rfam family: Bacterial small subunit ribosomal RNA
Source: RNAcentral
CCUACGGGAGGCAGCAGUGAGGAAUAUUGGUCAAUGGGCGCGAGCCUGAACCAGCCAUGUAGCGUGAAGGAUGACUGCCCUACGGGUUGUAAACUUCUUUUAUACAAGGAUAAAGUGAGGCACGUGUGCCUUUUUGUAUGUACUUUAUGAAUAAGGAUCGGCUAACUCCGUGCCAGCAGCCGCGGUAAUACGGAGGAUCCGAGCGUUAUCCGGAUUUAUUGGGUUUAAAGGGUGCGUAGAUGGGUUGUUAAGUCAGUUGUGAAAGUUUGCGGCUUAACCGUAAAAUUGCAAUUGAUACUGGCAGCCUUGAGUACAGUUGAGGUAGGCGGAAUGCGUGGUGUAGCGGUGAAAUGCUUAGAUAUCACGAAGAACUCCGAUUGCGAAGGCAGCUUACUAAUCUGCCACUGACAUUGAUGCUCGAAAGUGUGGGUAUCAAACAGGAUUAGAUACCCUAGUAGUC